This is a non-coding RNA of Leptonychotes weddellii (Weddell seal), 2546 nucleotides long. Lineage: Eukaryota; Metazoa; Chordata; Mammalia; Carnivora; Phocidae. The record is from RefSeq and is a predicted model, not a curated record.
CGCCCCUGUCAUGCUUUUUCCUGAUGGGUCAUUAAACAUUGGGCGGGCUCUAGGGAGCACUCUGCCACCCAGCAUUGGAAUGGGAGAAAUGGCAGGCUAAGGUUAAUAGCUAAUGCCCCUGGGCCCUGUUGUGCCACAUAAUGGUUACUGUUGAUUGGACAGUUGUAGGCUUUGAGACCGGUGAUUGAUAAGAGGCCCUUUGUUCAAGACUGAUUCAGCUGUCGGACCUGCAGGAGCCUGAGUGUGUGUUCAUAAACAUGAUGAAAAAGCUCCAAAUCUGCUCACUUAGGAGCUACUGAGAGCCCGGGAAGGAUGAGCCUUUUGUUGUGGAGGCUAAAAAGAACAACAACGGCCAUGAUGUCACCAUGCAGGAGACACAGAGCCUCCAAGAUGACAAGGUACAGUCUUGAUCUGCUGCCGGAGGAGAAGAGAAAACCGCGUGUGGAAUUCCAGCUCAGGAUAGCAUGCAUCUUAACUGGUUUGUCCAAGCUUAGAUGAAUCCGUUAAAUUGUGCUUUCGUGGUUUAUUCUUCCUGUCUCUUCUGCAAACAAAUUCAUUAAUUCACUUUAAAAAAGGCUCUUUGCCUUCAUCAGGGGUGUUGCCCCAUGGAAAUCUGGAAGAUCAUGGCCUCUUCUGUUGAAAUAAGGAGGAUUUUUUUUUUUUUUUUUGAUUGCACAUAAUGAGCAGAACCCCCUUUUACCAAAUCCUAGCAUUUGGGAAAGGGACUGGUUGUGUGCCCACGAUUGAUUCAGUGUCAGACGUGUUCUUCCUCUCUGGCUUUAGGCAGUGUGCUGUUCUCUUCCUGCCUUCGCCACAGCCCCAGGUGGGACCGAGCCGUGCCAGCGCCUGGCGCAACCUGAGUUCCCUUGCAGGAAGUCAUAAAUACGGGCCGACUGGCUCCCGGUUGGUGGGGUAAGGCGCCGCGGGCGGGAGCCACAGACGGGCCGGGCGCUACCUGGAGGGCGUGGAGAGACCUGGGUGUCUUUCCUGAUCCGUGGUCCUCGGUGUCAGAAGAUGACAUGAUCACUUAAGACAGGCAGGCCAGUGGGAGAAAUGGACGGCAGCUGAGCAAAAGAGUCCGAGAGAGCGGCGGGGAAGCAGUGCGUGCGCUGACCCAGUCGCGAGGUUAAGAGCGAGGCUUUAGAGCCAGACCCAGUUUGGAAGCUGCCAGGAGUUGUAAGGAAUAAAUAAAAUCCUCCAUGACAAUGGCGUAGCACAGCCCCCAGUAUGUAGUCAGCGUGUCCUAUCUGGGAGCUGCGCGUGGUGGUAUUAACAGGAAUGAAGUGCUCACACAGCCUCUGUUAGAAGUUGGGGGCCACAUGUCAGGUACCACAGAGCACAACUCUCUGUUCAUACUCUUUUGUUUUUGCACGCAUGCGUGCUCUGGCUCCUCACUAGAGUCCAGGGUCACCCAAGCGAGGCCUCUCAUGGACUCCGUUCAAGGAAGCUUAGGUGCUCAGUCCCCAAAGCCCCUUUGUUGUCCCUGAGGUGAUCACCGCAACAUGGUGCCAUCACCAGCCCCCUUGCUGGGCUCCAGGGCCCCACUCGCCCCAGGGCCCUGCUCUGGGGCCUCUCGGCAGGAGGACGAGGCAGGAGGUGGGCCACACCAGCACGGAGGCCGGUGCAAUGGAGAUUGGGAUCUCACCAGUAGGGCAGGGGGGCCGGCAGACGUCAGGCAGGAGAGGGAUGGGGUGCGAGCAGGUCUGUGUUUGGAUAGAGGACUUCGGACCAGAAGAGGUACAGGCAAGGAGAGCAUGACUGUGAUCAUCCAGGCAAGAGGUGAGGGCCUUAAUUAAAGAGCAGUGGAGUAGCAUCUAGAACUAAUUGGCAGGUAUUGAUGAUCAGCUGGAAGUGGAAAAGAGAAAGUGACUUCUGGGUGAUGACGUUCACUGGAAAAGGAAGGAAGGGGAGAAGCAGGAUUGGGGCAGAGGGGCAGGGUUUGAAAAUAUGAAAACAAAAGUCUGGGACUUAACUGAGUUUGUGGGGCUGUGAGACCUGUGUCAAGCAUGCCAGCUACAUUUGGUAAGACCUGACUAUAUGUCAGGCAGUGUUCUAAGCACCUUACACGUGUUUUAUUUAUCCCUCCUAAGAGCCCUAUAAAAUAGGGGCCUUUCUGUCCAUUUUACAGAUGGGAAAGCUGAGGCACAGUGUAACUUGCCCAGCACAGUGUAAGUAACUUGCCUGACACAGCUAGGAACAGGUAGCGCCACAGUUGGACCCCCGAGCUUCUGGGCUCCGAACCAUGUUGUUUUUUUCUCCUUUCUUUUUUACUGAAGUAUAGUCAACACACAAUGUUGCAUUAGUUUCAGGUGUACGACAUAGUGACUGGAUAAGUCUGUAUGUUUUGCUGUGCUCACCACUGGUAGCUCCCGACCAUCAUAGUACCAUUGACUGUAUUCCCCGUGCUGUACCUUUCAUCCGGGUGACUUACUCAUUCCAUAACUGGAAGCUUAUGCCCCCCACUCCCCUUCACCUAUUUGCCCACUCCCCCAUGCCCUCUGGCAAACAUCAGUGUGUUCUCUGUAUUCAUGGGUCUGUUUCUGCUU